RNAcentral lists this unclassified non-coding RNA (348 nucleotides) under soil metagenome. RNAcentral describes it as "partial contains 5.8S ribosomal RNA, internal transcribed spacer 2, and large subunit ribosomal RNA". The stretch from base 1 to 120 matches the Rfam family "5.8S ribosomal RNA", at positions 35 to 154 of the family's 154-position model. The record is from RNAcentral.
GAUGAAGAACGUAGCUAAAUGCGAUAAGUAAUGUGAAUUGCAGAAUUCAGUGAAUCAUCGAAUCUUUGAACGCACAUUGCGCCCAUCAGUAUUCUGUUGGGCAUGCCUGUCCGAGCGUCAUUUCAACCCUCAGGGCCCGUUCGCGGGAACUGGUGUUGGGGAUCGGCCUCCCCCCGGAGGCCGGCCCCGAAAUGCAGUGGCGGCUCUACCGCGAUCUCCUCUGUGUAGUAGCGAUACCUCGCAGCUGGAUAGUGGUGGUGCCACGCCGUAAAAUCCCAACUUUACCAAGGUUGACCUCGGAUCAGGUAGGAAUACCCGCUGAACUUAAGCAUAUCAAUAAGCGGAGGA